UACGGGGGGGGCAAGCGUUGUUCGGAAUUACUGGGCGUAAAGGGCUCGUAGGUGGCCAACUAAGUCAGACGUGAAAUCCCUCGGCUUAACCGGGGAACUGCGUCUGAUACUGGAUGGCUUGAGUGUGGGAGAGGGAUGCGGAAUUCCAGGUGUAGCGGUGAAAUGCGUAGAUAUUGGGAAGAACACCUGAGGCGAAGGCGGGUUGCUGGGCUGAUACUGACGCUGAGGCGCGAAAGCCAGGGGAGCAAACGGG
Molecule: ribosomal RNA, 253 nt
Filed under: uncultured bacterium
Lineage: Bacteria
Description: partial 16S ribosomal RNA
Rfam family: Bacterial small subunit ribosomal RNA
Source: RNAcentral